AGUUGAUCCAAAGGUUGUGGGUUAUGGUUAUUGAUUUAACAUUGUCUCCCCACACAACCCAACUUGUCUAGCUUAAA
This 77-nucleotide Y RNA is filed under the name Otolemur garnettii (small-eared galago). RNAcentral's name for it is "Y RNA (ENSOGAG00000021987.1)". It matches the Rfam family "Y RNA". From Rfam's summary of the family: Y RNAs are components of the Ro ribonucleoprotein particle (Ro RNP), in association with Ro60 and La proteins. The Y RNAs and Ro60 and La proteins are well conserved, but the function of the Ro RNP is not known. Lineage: Eukaryota; Metazoa; Chordata; Mammalia; Primates; Galagidae. The record is from Rfam by way of RNAcentral.